This is a non-coding RNA of Lolium perenne, 1442 nucleotides long. Lineage: Eukaryota; Viridiplantae; Streptophyta; Magnoliopsida; Poales; Poaceae. The record is from RefSeq and is a predicted model, not a curated record.
ACCCUAGCCGCCUCUGCUCUCCCCACCCCCGCGCGAUCCGGUUCCUCAUCCGCCUGCGGGACCCCCAUCGCUUGCGACGGUGGCGGCGCUUCUGGGCAACCCGGUGGCGGUUCUGACGGAGAGAUCGGCGCCGCGGCUCACGAGGCUGCUAGAGAACGUGAUGGUGGAGCGGAGCCUGUGGGCGGUCCACGUCGUGCUGGGCGCCGAUCCCGCCGUGGCGGACCACGCGCGCACCGCCGUAGCCACCUACAUCGCCGAGGGACGCAGGCCGCCGCUCCCCGCCGACGCCAAUGACAUCGAUGCGGCCGCACGGUUCGAGCUGCUUCUCUCCAACGCUGAACCCUGACGAGAAGGUGUUGGAUCUGGGGUCUCACAACUUCUUCAUAUGCGCCAGAAGAUUCUGAAGGAGAACAUGGCGCUGCUCUUCCUGGCAAUCGUCCAAUGCUGAAGCCAUUGAAGUUACUACAAAACAUGCUUCCACAAUUUCUGAAGCAGGUCAGGUAUAUACUCCCUUGUUUUUUUACUAUAGUAACCAUUUUUUAGUACUCCCUGCAUGUUUAGUAGUUCAACCUGCAUUGUUACAACCUGAGAAAUAUAUUUGGUGGCACAAUAAAAUCAAGGAUGUAUUUCUGUUUCUAAUUAAAUGGAGUAUUCUUUUUUGCUAUCUGAAAAAUACUAAGGUCUGAAACUACUGCAGUAUCAUUGUUAGAACUGCCGUAUCUCUGAAAAUAGUAAGGCCUGCAAUUCCUUGUGCUUGAAGAGGUUUUGUAACUUGGCAAAAGAAUUUCUAAACCUGCAUUACUGAGCUUGUGCAGGAGUUAUUUUCUGCAACGCUCAGACUUUGUUUUAGAAUUCUUGCAGAGGUCUUAAUACACUCUCUUGGGAGUACAUUACAUACUUCUUCAUUCGUACUAAGACUUGUGCAUACUGUUCAAGAUAUGGUAGCUUUUUCAGGAGAUCAUGCUGGUCGAGCAGGUCUCCGCGGCGGCGAACGACUACGACUCCGUCCUUGUAGAAGGAGAAGGAUGGAUGCGGGAGUUCGAUCUCCUGCGUCGGGGGAGACCUAACCCGACAUGCGCUGGUGGUGGGGACCAUCCUGGUCGAGCAGGUCAACGCGGGCGGUCGCCGAAGGCGCGGAGACCUGCUAUGCAGGCCUGGGUCAGCUGGUUUUACAAGACCUAACGAUGGAGUGCGCGGCCUGUUACCUCUCGCUGGCUGGGUUUUGCAUCUGAAUAUAUGAAGAUGCUUGUGCCAGUGAGGAGAAAGAGCUUCAAGAAGAGCAGCGGCCAUGCAGCCUCUCCCUACUGCUGUUCAUUGUGGCGGUUCAGUUCUGGGUGAUUGAGAGGGUCUUACGUCUUCGAGCUAGCAGCAGGUUCACGGUAGAAAAUACUCAUCCAAGAACAACAGGUUUGUGCGCAGGUUCCUUUUAUAUAUCAGCAACC